This 490-nucleotide ribosomal RNA is filed under the name uncultured bacterium. RNAcentral describes it as "partial 16S ribosomal RNA". It matches the Rfam family "Bacterial small subunit ribosomal RNA", at positions 30 to 507 of the family's 1533-position model. The record is from RNAcentral.
AUUGAACGCUGGCGGCAGGCUUAACACAUGCAAGUCGAGCGGUAGCACAGGGGAGCUUGCUCCCUGGGUGACGAGCGGCGGACGGGUGAGUAAUGUCUGGGAAACUGCCUGAUGGAGGGGGAUAACUACUGGAAACGGUAGCUAAUACCGCAUAACGUCGCAAGACCAAAGAGGGGGACCUUCGGGCCUCUUGCCAUCAGAUGUGCCCAGAUGGGAUUAGCUAGUAGGUGGGGUAAUGGCUCACCUAGGCGACGAUCCCUAGCUGGUCUGAGAGGAUGACCAGCCACACUGGAACUGAGACACGGUCCAGACUCCUACGGGAGGCAGCAGUGGGGAAUAUUGCACAAUGGGCGCAAGCCUGCUGCAGCCCUGCCGCGUGUGUGAAGAAGGCCUUCGGGUUGUAAAGCACUUUCAGCGAGGAGGAAGGUGGUGAGCUUAAUACGUUCAUCAAUUGACGUUACUCGCAGAAGAAGCACCGGCUAACUCCGUG